This 422-nucleotide ribosomal RNA is filed under the name uncultured bacterium. RNAcentral describes it as "partial 16S ribosomal RNA". It matches the Rfam family "Bacterial small subunit ribosomal RNA", at positions 359 to 773 of the family's 1533-position model. The record is from RNAcentral.
GAAUUUUGGACAAUGGGAGAAAGCCUGAUCCAGCAAUGCCUCGUGCAGGAUGAAGGCCUUCGGGUUGUAAACUCCUUUUGUACGGACGGAAAAGCUUUCGGUUAAGACGCUGGAGUCAUGACGGUACCGUAAGAAUACGCCCCGUCUAACUACGGGCCAGCCGCCGCUGUAAGACGUAGGGUGCAAGCGUUAAUCGGAAUUACUGGGCGUAAAGCGUGCGCAGGCGGUUUUGUAAGACAGAGGUGAAAUCCCCGGGCUCAACCUGGGAACUGCAUUUGUGACUGCAAGGCUAGAGUACGGCAGAGGGGGGUGGAAUUCCGCGUGUAGCAGUGAAAUGCGUAGAUAUGCGGAGGAACACCGAUGGCGAAGGCAACCCCCUGGGCCUGUACUGACGCUCAUGCACGAAAGCGUGGGGAGCAAAC